CUUCUGUUUCUCAAGUAAAUUCUACCAUUUUUAUUUAAUUUAACAACGAUUGAUCGAGGUCUAUUUAUGUCAACUCUAAUAACUGAUGCUGGUUCCCAAACACUUCCAAAUUGAACCAUUACAUGGUCACCAGUUUUUAUAUGAGGUACAUGACCUUUGAGAGUGCGACCAAACAAAAGUUGUGCCGGAGAUGGAGUAUCUCGACCGAUUGGUGUAUUUCUGUAUUCCAGAAGUGUUAAAUGUAAAUCUUUACCAUCAAAUAAAGCCUUUUUAAACAUU
Long non-coding RNA from Harmonia axyridis, 279 nucleotides. RefSeq lists it as uncharacterized. NCBI's taxonomy places the organism in Eukaryota, Metazoa, Arthropoda, Insecta, Coleoptera, Coccinellidae. The record is from RefSeq and is a predicted model, not a curated record. The transcript is spliced from 2 exons.